This 396-nucleotide ribosomal RNA is filed under the name uncultured bacterium. Its description in RNAcentral is "partial 16S ribosomal RNA". It matches the Rfam family "Bacterial small subunit ribosomal RNA", at positions 523 to 918 of the family's 1533-position model. The record is from RNAcentral.
AUACGUAGGGGGCAAGCGUUAUCCGGAUUUACUGGGUGUAAAGGGAGCGUAGACGGUAAAGCAAGUCUGAAGUGAAAGCUCGGGGCUCAACCCCGGAACUGCUUUGGAAACUGUUUUACUGGAGUGCAGGAGAGGUAAGCGGAAUUCCUAGUGUAGCGGUGAAAUGCGUAGAUAUUAGGAGGAACACCAGAGGCGAAGGCGGCUUACUGGACUGUAACUGACGUUGAGGCGCGAAGGCGUAGGGAGCAAACAGGAUUAGAUACCCUGGUAGUCCACGCGGUAAACGAUGAUCACUAGGUGUCGGCGGCCAUAGGCGGUCGGUGCCUCAGCAAACGCAAUAAGUGAUCCACCUGGGGAGUACGUUCGCAAGAAUGAAACUCAAAUGAAUUGACGGGG